This 114-nucleotide non-coding RNA is filed under the name unclassified sequences. RNAcentral describes it as "L31-Corynebacteriaceae ribosomal protein leader". It matches the Rfam family "L31-Corynebacteriaceae ribosomal protein leader". The record is from RNAcentral.
ACUCGGGCACGAUCCGGGCUCCGGUGGCUCUCGCGUUUCACGGCGAAUCAUACGUCGUCAAGCAAAGGUCCGCCCAUGCCGCCCGGAAGCGACCCGUAGUUCAAUCCUGAGGGA